RNAcentral lists this long non-coding RNA (559 nucleotides) under Cavia porcellus (domestic guinea pig). RNAcentral describes it as "lncRNA (ENSCPOG00000030024.1)". Lineage: Eukaryota; Metazoa; Chordata; Mammalia; Rodentia; Caviidae. The record is from RNAcentral.
GAGAGUUUGGGGUUCCAGUCACAAGUCAGUGGCUGCUCAACCACUGUGCUCUUGAAUUGCCCAUAACUACCUGGCAGGGAAACUUACAUAGCAGGAGCCUGCACAGGAAGAGGAGCCAGCCUUGGUGAGAACUGACUCCAUAAGACCUCCUGUCUUUAUAGACAGACCAACAGGGAACCUUAACCCUGAUCAGAAAGCAAGAAACAGGAUUGGCUCCUAAAAUCCUAUGCUAAGUGGCCAGCUGGGUGGAAGGAACUUUCUGACGGAGAAAAUUCCCCGCUUCUUUACCCAUCUCUCCUCUUACUUGUAUCACAAGAAUUUACCUCCGUGCUAUCCUGGUCUAGGGAAAUGGUUUCAAGAGCACUGUACACCGAUCUAUAGCCUAAAAGCUACACCACUUAACCUUGCUGUACAGGUGGUGACACCACUGAGGAUUGUGUAAGCUCUCUGUGACUUUUGCAAAAUUGCAGAAUCACCCUUGGAUACAUCAGAACAUAUCCCCAUUGGUAAGUGACACAUAACUGUGCUUCAGAAACAGGAGCAGCAGAUUGUGAACACC